CAGUCGCCGCGGUAAUACAGAGGGUGCGAGCGUUAAUCGGAUUUACUGGGCGUAAAGCGUGCGUAGGCGGCUUCUUAAGUCGGAUGUGAAAUCCCUGAGCUUAACUUAGGAAUUGCAUUCGAUACUGGGAAGCUAGAGUAUGGGAGAGGAUGGUAGAAUUCCAGGUGUAGCGGUGAAAUGCGUAGAGAUCUGGAGGAAUACCGAUGGCGAAGGCGGCUAACUGGUCCAUAACUGACGCUGAGGUGCGAAAGCGUGGGGAGCAAACAGGAUUAGAUACCCCUGUAGUCCCUGUCUCUUAUAC
This 301-nucleotide ribosomal RNA is filed under the name uncultured bacterium. Its description in RNAcentral is "partial 16S ribosomal RNA". It matches the Rfam family "Bacterial small subunit ribosomal RNA", at positions 509 to 807 of the family's 1533-position model. The record is from RNAcentral.